UGGGGAAUUUUGGACAAUGGGCGAAAGCCUNAUCCAGCAAUGCCGCGUGUGUGAAGAAGGCCUUCGGGUUGUAAAGCACUUUUGUCCGGAAAGAAAUCCUUGGCUCUAAUACAGUCGGGGGAUGACGGUACCGGAAGAAUAAGCACCGGCUAACUACGUGCCAGCAGCCGCGGUAAUACGUAGGGUGCAAGCGUUAAUCGGAAUUACUGGGCGUAAAGCGUGCGCAGGCGGUUUGCUAAGACCGAUGUGAAAUCCCCGGGCUCAACCUGGGAACUGCAUUGGUGACUGGCAGGCUAGAGUAUGGCAGAGGGGGGUAGAAUUCCACGUGUAGCAGUGAAAUGCGUAGAGAUGUGGAGGAAUACCGAUGGCGAAGGCAGCCCCCUGGGGCCAAUACUGACGCUCAUGCACGAAAGCGUGGGGAGCAAACAGGAUUAGAUACCCUGGUAGUCCACGCCCUAAACGAUGUCAACUAGUUGUUGGGGGAUUCAUUUCCUUAGUAACGUAGCUAACGCGUGAAGUUGACCGCCUGGGGAGUACGGUCGCAAGAUUAAAACUUAAAUGAAUUGACGGGGUCAUAGCUG
RNAcentral lists this ribosomal RNA (581 nucleotides) under uncultured bacterium. RNAcentral's name for it is "partial 16S ribosomal RNA". It matches the Rfam family "Bacterial small subunit ribosomal RNA", at positions 355 to 932 of the family's 1533-position model. The record is from RNAcentral.